AACGAACGCUGGCGGCAGGCUUAACACAUGCAAGUCGAGCGCCCCGCAAGGGGAGCGGCAGACGGGUGAGUAACGCGUGGGAAUCCACCCAUCCCUACGGAAUAGCUCCGGGAAACUGGAAUUAAUACCGUAUAAUAUCUUCGGAUCAAAGAUUCAUCGCCUAAAGAUUAGCCCGCGUCUGAUUAGCUAGUUGGUGGGGUAAAGGCCUACCAAGGCGACGAUCAGUAGCUGGUCUGAGAGGAUGAUCAGCCACACUGGAACUGAGACACGGUCCAGACUCCUACGGGAGGCAGCAGUAAGGAAUAUUGGACAAUGGGGGAAACCCUGAUCCAGCCAUGCCGCGUGAGUGACGAAGGCCUUAGGGUUGUAAAGCUCUUUUGGUGGGGAAGAUAAUGACUGUACCCACAGAAUAAGCCCCGGCUAAAUUCGUGCCAGCCGCCGCCGUAA
This 447-nucleotide ribosomal RNA is filed under the name uncultured bacterium. Its description in RNAcentral is "partial 16S ribosomal RNA". It matches the Rfam family "Bacterial small subunit ribosomal RNA", at positions 29 to 523 of the family's 1533-position model. The record is from RNAcentral.